RNAcentral lists this ribosomal RNA (757 nucleotides) under Bacillus mojavensis. Its description in RNAcentral is "bacterial SSU rRNA". It matches the Rfam family "Bacterial small subunit ribosomal RNA", at positions 30 to 769 of the family's 1533-position model. Lineage: Bacteria; Bacillati; Bacillota; Bacilli; Caryophanales; Bacillaceae. The record is from RNAcentral.
CGAACGCUGGCGGCGUGCCUAAUACAUGCAAGUCGAGCGGACAGAUGGGAGCUUGCUCCCUGAUGUUAGCGGCGGACGGGUGAGUAACACGUGGGUAACCUGCCUGUAAGACUGGGAUAACUCCGGGAAACCGGGGCUAAUACCGGAUGCUUGUUUGAACCGCAUGGUUCAAACAUAAAAGGUGGCUUCGGCUACCACUUACAGAUGGACCCGCGGCGCAUUAGCUAGUUGGUGAGGUAACGGCUCACCAAGGCAACGAUGCGUAGCCGACCUGAGAGGGUGAUCGGCCACACUGGGACUGAGACACGGCCCAGACUCCUACGGGAGGCAGCAGUAGGGAAUCUUCCGCAAUGGACGAAAGUCUGACGGAGCAACGCCGCGUGAGUGAUGAAGGUUUUCGGAUCGUAAAGCUCUGUUGUUAGGGAAGAACAAGUACCGUUCGAAUAGGGCGGUACCUUGACGGUACCUAACCAGAAAGCCACGGCUAACUACGUGCCAGCAGCCGCGGUAAUACGUAGGUGGCAAGCGUUGUCCGGAAUUAUUGGGCGUAAAGGGCUCGCAGGCGGUUCCUUAAGUCUGAUGUGAAAGCCCCCGGCUCAACCGGGGAGGGUCAUUGGAAACUGGGGAACUUGAGUGCAGAAGAGGAGAGUGGAAUUCCACGUGUAGCGGUGAAAUGCGUAGAGAUGUGGAGGAACACCAGUGGCGAAGGCGACUCUCUGGUCUGUAACUGACGCUGAGGAGCGAAAGCGUGGGGAGG